ACAUUAAGUUAAAGUCUUAUUGCUACCCCUGUCUGUUCCUAGGGUCUGUAUUCCAAUGUGGUGUGUCCAGGUACAGCACUGACCAAUUUGACAUAUGGAAUUCUGCCUCCCUUUAUAUGGACACUGUUGAUGCCGGCAAUAUUGCUACUUCGCUUUUUUGCAAAUGCAUUCACUUUGACACCAUACAAUGGAACAGAAGCGCUGGUAUGGCUUUUCCACCAAAAGCCCGAAUCUCUCAAUCCUCUGAUCAAAUAUCUCAGUGCCACCACUGGCUUUGGAAGAAAUUACAUUAUGACCCAGAAGGUAAAUGUGCUUACGUUGUUGCACUGAUGUUUGCUGCUGGGUUGAUGA
Molecule: long non-coding RNA, 351 nt
Filed under: Theropithecus gelada (gelada)
Lineage: Eukaryota; Metazoa; Chordata; Mammalia; Primates; Cercopithecidae
Description: lncRNA (ENSTGEG00000009393.1)
Source: RNAcentral